GGAAACGGCAAGAAGAACUUUAAAGAUUUCACUUUCUUGUCAUCUCUUAUACAUUUUUUGCUUUUUCCUAUCAAGGGAAGAAACAAAAGAAAGUUUACUUGAAUACAGCUUAAAAUGAGUUCACUCUCAGCUUAUCUGAUUUGAUCAAUGGUGACUUAAUGCCAGACUUGCGGUGUUUCAGGUUUACAGAUUUUUUUAAAUCAGUGUGUCCUCAAAGUUGAAAGAGUUGGAAUCUCUAGCCCCACCUUACGCUUGAAAGGCCUGAAGUUUUGGAUAGUACUAUUAACUCUUGGAGUGAAUGCAAGGACAGUUUUAA
This 316-nucleotide long non-coding RNA is filed under the name Phasianus colchicus (ring-necked pheasant). RNAcentral's name for it is "lncRNA (ENSPCLG00000003012.1)". Lineage: Eukaryota; Metazoa; Chordata; Aves; Galliformes; Phasianidae. The record is from RNAcentral.